GACGAACGCUGGCGGCGUGCUUAACACAUGCAAGUCGAACGGAAAGGCCCUGCUUUUGUGGGGUGCUCGAGUGGCGAACGGGUGUGUAACACGUGAGUAACCUGCCCUUGACUUUGGGAUAACUUCAGGAAACUGGGGCUAAUACCAGAUAGGAGCUCCUGCUGCAUGGUGGGGGUUGGAAAGUUUCGGCGGUUGGGGAUGGACUCGCGGCUUAUCAGCUUGUUGGUGGGGUAGUGGCUUACCAAGGCUUUGACGGGUAGCCGGCCUGAGAGGGUGACCGGCCACAUUGGGACUGAGAUACGGCCCAGACUCCUACGGGAGGCAGCAGUGGGGAAUAUUGCACAAUGGGCGGAAGCCUGAUGCAGCAACGCCGCGUGCGGGAUGACGGCCUUCGGGUUGUAAACCGCUUUCGCCUGUGACGAAGCGUGAGUGACGGUAAUGGGUAAAGAAGCACCGGCUAACUACGUG
This 468-nucleotide ribosomal RNA is filed under the name uncultured bacterium. RNAcentral describes it as "partial 16S ribosomal RNA". It matches the Rfam family "Bacterial small subunit ribosomal RNA", at positions 28 to 507 of the family's 1533-position model. The record is from RNAcentral.